This 1476-nucleotide ribosomal RNA is filed under the name metagenome. RNAcentral describes it as "bacterial SSU rRNA". It matches the Rfam family "Bacterial small subunit ribosomal RNA". The record is from RNAcentral.
AGAGUUUGAUCCUGGCUCAGGACGAACGCUGGCGGCGUGCUUAACACAUGCAAGUCGAACGGUGAACCCUCUUCGGAGGGGGAUCAGUGGCGAACGGGUGAGUAACACGUGAGCAACCUGCCCCUAACUCUGGGAUAACUCCGGGAAACCGGAGCUAAUACCGGAUACGAGACACUCGGGCCUCCGAUGUGUCUGGAAAGAUAUAUCGGUUAGGGAUGGGCUCGCGGCCUAUCAGCUUGUUGGCGGGGUAACGGCCCACCAAGGCGACGACGGGUAGCCGGCCUGAGAGGGCGACCGGCCACUCUGGGACUGAGACACGGCCCAGACUCCUACGGGAGGCAGCAGUGGGGAAUAUUGCGCAAUGGGCGAAAGCCUGACGCAGCGACGCCGCGUGAGGGACGAAGGCCUUCGGGUUGUAAACCUCUUUCAGCAGGGAAGAAGCGAAAGUGACGGUACCUGCAGAAGAAGCACCGGCUAACUACGUGCCAGCAGCCGCGGUAAUACGUAGGGUGCAAGCGUUGUCCGGAAUUAUUGGGCGUAAAGAGCUCGUAGGCGGUUUGUCGCGUCUGCUGUGAAAACUCGGGGCUUAACCCCGGGCCUGCAGUGGGUACGGGCAGACUAGAGUGCGGUAGGGGAGACUGGAAUUCCUGGUGUAGCGGUGAAAUGCGCAGAUAUCAGGAGGAACACCGGUGGCGAUGCGGGUCUCUGGGCCGUAACUGACGCUGAGGAGCGAAAGCAUGGGGAGCGAACAGGAUUAGAUACCCUGGUAGUCCAUGCCGUAAACGUUGGGCGCUAGGUGUGGGGCUCUUUCCACGAGUUCCGUGCCGCAGCAAACGCAUUAAGCGCCCCGCCUGGGGAGUACGGUCGCAAGGCUAAAACUCAAAGGAAUUGACGGGGGCCCGCACAAGCGGCGGAGCAUGCGGAUUAAUUCGAUGCAACGCGAAGAACCUUACCAAGGCUUGACAUGAACGGUAAUCCGGCAGAGAUGUCGGGUCCGUAAGGGCCGUUCACAGGUGGUGCAUGGUUGUCGUCAGCUCGUGUCGUGAGAUGUUGGGUUAAGUCCCGCAACGAGCGCAACCCUCGUUCUAUGUUGCCAGCACGUAAUGGUGGGGACUCAUAGGAGACUGCCGGGGUCAACUCGGAGGAAGGUGGGGAUGACGUCAAAUCAUCAUGCCCCUUAUGUCUUGGGCUUCACGCAUGCUACAAUGGCCAGUACAAAGGGCUGCGAGACCGUAAGGUGGAGCGAAUCCCAAAAAGCUGGUCUCAGUUCGGAUCGGGGUCUGCAACUCGACCCCGUGAAGUCGGAGUCGCUAGUAAUCGCAGAUCAGCAACGCUGCGGUGAAUACGUUCCCGGGCCUUGUACACACCGCCCGUCACGUCACGAAAGUCGGUAACACCCGAAGCCGGUGGCCCAACCCUUGUGGAGGGAGCCGUCGAAGGUGGGACUGGCGAUUGGGACGAAGUCGUAACAAGGUA